GGGGGUGACAUGGAUUCGACCAUUGGUCGUAGGAAAGCAUGGCAUGUCGAAGAUGACGGUUGGCUUCGCAAAAAUCCGUUAGAAUCAUAAAUGACAAAAACAUUAUGAAACUGAACUUCAGAAAUGAAGUUGCACUAGCCGCUUAGUUAUAAAGUGGCGCAUCCUCCGCGUGAUGCUUGAUAAUGCGGACGGAUGUGUUUAAUCAAGCGGGCGUUGUGAGUGUUUGCGGCGGACACAGCGUUCUAUUGCGCUGCAAUAGGUGAUUUUCAGCAUGCUGGUGUGCUAAUGUCGCCGAAAAUCAAAAAUCAGCUAAACAUGUAGAGGUGUUUUUUGAAAAUUAGUGGGACGCGGGUUCAACUCCCGCCACCUCCACCA
Molecule: transfer-messenger RNA, 375 nt
Filed under: Puniceicoccales bacterium
Lineage: Bacteria; Pseudomonadati; Verrucomicrobiota; Opitutia; Puniceicoccales
Rfam family: transfer-messenger RNA
About the family: Bacterial tmRNA, also known as 10Sa RNA or SsrA, is named for its dual tRNA and mRNA-like properties. Its role is to liberate the mRNA from a stalled ribosome. To accomplish this part of the tmRNA is used as a reading frame that ends in a translation stop signal.
Source: RNAcentral